Molecule: ribosomal RNA, 335 nt
Filed under: uncultured Bodomorpha
Lineage: Eukaryota; Cercozoa; Glissomonadida
Description: SSU rRNA
Rfam family: Eukaryotic small subunit ribosomal RNA (bases 117-335)
Source: RNAcentral
GAUUUCUGGUCUAGUAUCACUUGACCCGUCAUGGUCACAUGAUUGUGUGUCGAUGUGUACUUACCAUCCUUCUAGAACAUUUUUUAUCAUUCUUUAUUGAAUGUAUGAAAAAUUGUACUAGAUCUUUUACUUUGAAAAAAUUAGAGUGUUUAAAGCAGGCAUUGUUUGCUAUGAAUACAUUAGCAUGGAAUAAUCAUCUAGGACUAUUAUCGGUCUUAUUUUGUUGGUUUCGCGGGCUGAAGUCAUGAUUGAUAGGGAUAGUUGGGGGUGCUAGUAUUCAGUGGCCAGAGGUGAAAUUCUCGGAUUCACUGAAGACUGACUUAUGCGAAAGCAUU